RNAcentral lists this unclassified non-coding RNA (238 nucleotides) under Hevea brasiliensis (rubber tree). Lineage: Eukaryota; Viridiplantae; Streptophyta; Magnoliopsida; Malpighiales; Euphorbiaceae. The record is from RNAcentral.
GGUAAAAACUGAUACUCACCUCUUUCUUUUAAAAUUUUGAAGUCAUUCUUCCUUAAAGAAAACAAAGAGUUGCCCCUGUAUGAAAUUCGUCCUUAUCCCUGUAAAUCCGGCUGAGGACAACAAAGUGGACGGUCGGGAUCGACGAUUCUUCCUUCUUUCUUGAUGUGGCAUCAUCUCACGCCUAUGAGGAUGAAAACGCUUCUGCUGCCAGGACAAAUUCGCAGAGAUACAGUUGGUG